GAUGAACGCUAGCUACAGGCUUAACACAUGCAAGUCGAGGGGCAGCAUUUCAGUUUGUUAGCAAACUGGAGAUGGCGACCGGCGCACGGGUGAGUAACACGUAUCCAACCUGCCGAUAACUCGGGGAUAGCCUUUCGAAAGAAAGAUUAAUACCCGAUGGCAUAAUUAGACCGCAUGGUCUUAUUAUUAAAGAAUUUCGGUUAUCGAUGGGGAUGCGUUCCAUUAGGCAGUUGGUGAGGUAACGGCUCACCAAACCUUCGAUGGAUAGGGGUUCUGAGAGGAAGGUCCCCCACAUUGGAACUGAGACACGGUCCAAACUCCUACGGGAGGCAGCAGUGAGGAGUAUUGGUCAAUGGGCGCAGGCCUGAACCAGCCAAGUAGCGUGAAGGAUGACUGCCCUAUGGGUUGUAAACUUCUUUUAUAUGGGAAUAAAGUUUUCCACGUGUGGAAUUUUGUAUGUACCAUAUGAAUAAGGAUCGGCUAACUCCGUGCCAGCAGCCGCGGUAAUACGGAGGAUCCGAGCGUUAUCCGGAUUUAUUGGGUUUAAAGGGAGCGUAGGUGGACAGUUAAGUCAGUUGUGAAAGUUUGCGGCUCAACCGUAAAAUUGCAGUUGAUACUGGCUGUCUUGAGUACAGUAGAGGUGGGCGGAAUUCGUGGUGUAGCGGUGAAAUGCUUAGAUAUCACGAAGAACUCCGAUUGCGAAGGCAGCUCACUGGACUGCAACUGACACUGAUGCUCGAAAGUGUGGGUAUCAAACAGGAUUAGAUACCCUGGUAGUCCACACAGUAAACGAUGAAUACUCGCUGUUUGCGAUAUACAGUAAGCGGCCAAGCGAAAGCAUUAAGUAUUCCACCUGGGGAGUACGCCGGCAACGGUGAAACUCAAAGGAAUUGACGGGGGCCCGCACAAGCGGAGGAACAUGUGGUUUAAUUCGAUGAUACGCGAGGAACCUUACCCGGGCUUAAAUUGCAUUUGAAUAUAUUGGAAACAGUAUAGCCGUAAGGCAAAUGUGAAGGUGCUGCAUGGUUGUCGUCAGCUCGUGCCGUGAGGUGUCGGCUUAAGUGCCAUAACGAGCGCAACCCUUAUCUUUAGUUACUAACAGGUCAUGCUGAGGACUCUAGAGAGACUGCCGUCGUAAGAUGUGAGGAAGGUGGGGAUGACGUCAAAUCAGCACGGCCCUUACGUCCGGGGCUACACACGUGUUACAAUGGGGGGUACAGAAGGCAGCUACCUGGUGACAGGAUGCUAAUCCCAAAAGCCUCUCUCAGUUCGGAUCGAAGUCUGCAACCCGACUUCGUGAAGCUGGAUUCGCUAGUAAUCGCGCAUCAGCCAUGGCGCGGUGAAUACGUUCCCGGGCCU
This 1359-nucleotide ribosomal RNA is filed under the name uncultured bacterium. Its description in RNAcentral is "bacterial SSU rRNA". It matches the Rfam family "Bacterial small subunit ribosomal RNA", at positions 28 to 1381 of the family's 1533-position model. The record is from RNAcentral.